GACGUAGGGCGCGAGCGUUGUCCGGAUUUAUUGGGCGUAAAGAGCUCGUAGGCGGUGUGUCACGUCGGCCGUGAAAACCUGGGGCUUAACUCUGGGCGUGCGGUCGAUACGGGCAUCACUAGAGUUCGGCAGGGGAGACUGGAAUUCCUGGUGUAGCGGUGAAAUGCGCAGAUAUCAGGAGGAACACCGGUGGCGAAGGCGGUCUGCUGGGCCGUUGCUGACGCUGAGGCGCGACAGCGUGGGGAGCAAACAGG
RNAcentral lists this ribosomal RNA (254 nucleotides) under uncultured bacterium. RNAcentral's name for it is "partial 16S ribosomal RNA". It matches the Rfam family "Bacterial small subunit ribosomal RNA", at positions 524 to 776 of the family's 1533-position model. The record is from RNAcentral.